Molecule: ribosomal RNA, 253 nt
Filed under: uncultured bacterium
Lineage: Bacteria
Description: partial 16S ribosomal RNA
Rfam family: Bacterial small subunit ribosomal RNA
Source: RNAcentral
UACGUAGGGUCCGAGCGUUGUCCGGAAUUAUUGGGCGUAAAGGGCUCGUAGGCGGUUCGUCACGUCGGGAGUGAAAACUCGGGGCUUAACCCCGAGCCUGCUUCCGAUACGGGCAGACUAGAGGUAGGCAGGGGAGAGCGGAACUCCUGGUGUAGCGGUGGAAUGCGCAGAUAUCAGGAAGAACACCGGUGGCGAAGGCGGCUUGCUGGGCCAGUUCUGACGCUGAGGAGCGAAAGCGUGGGGAGCGAACAGG